AUGGAGGCGGCUCUCGUGAGUGCCGCGACGGGGGCCCUGAAACCCAUCAUCAGGAAGCUGGCCACCCUGUUGGGUGACGAGUACAAGCGUCUCAAGGGGGUGCGUGAGGAGAUCAAGUCCCUGACUCAUGAACUCUCCGCCAUGGAUGCUUUUCUCAUGAAGAUGUCAGCGGAGGAGGAUCCGGAUAUGCAAGAUAAAGUUUGGAUGAAUGAGGUACGGGAGCUGUCCUAUGACAUAGAUGAUUUCAUAGACGACUUUCUGAAAUAUGUCAAUGACGAAGACAUUAAGCCGGAUAACUUCAUGGAGAAGAUCAAGUUCUUCCUGGGAAAGAUGAAGACCCGGCGCCAAAUUGGCAAAGAAAUUGAAGAUUUGAAGAAACAAAUUAUUGAGGUCGGCGAGAGGAAUGCAAGGGAGCAGUUUUUUCUUCUUCCGAGGGCGAGAUUGGGACGCUCUCUUUCUUUUUGA
RNAcentral lists this ribosomal RNA (465 nucleotides) under Triticum aestivum (bread wheat). Its description in RNAcentral is "partial small subunit ribosomal RNA". The record is from RNAcentral. Lineage: Eukaryota; Viridiplantae; Streptophyta; Magnoliopsida; Poales; Poaceae.